This is a long non-coding RNA of Sceloporus undulatus (fence lizard), 389 nucleotides long. RefSeq lists it as uncharacterized. The record is from RefSeq and is a predicted model, not a curated record. Lineage: Eukaryota; Metazoa; Chordata; Lepidosauria; Squamata; Phrynosomatidae. The transcript has 3 exons.
GGGAAAAUACUGCUGGUAAGACAGUUAGCUCUACCGUGCUCUUAAAUAUAUAGUGCAGGAACAGAAAGAGGGGGAGAGAGAAAGGGAGAGCAGAAUUACCUGCCUUACUUUACCAGGAAAAUAAAAUUAUCAUCAUCAGGACCAAGAAUGAAUGUGUUGUGUGCAACACAGGGCAAAAGAAGGGCAUAACCUUCUCUCAGCUCCUCAGAGGUCAGCAUGAAGGAAUGUUGCUAGUUGAAAUCAAGGACAGAGAAGAGGCAAGCAACCAUCUGAAUCCUGUCCAUGAAACCUUCUGCAUCCCUAUCGAGUAAUGGCAAAAACCAACAACAGUUUCAGUAGAGGACAAGCUUCAGAAGUGACAAAAAUUUGUUAAAAUGUUAAAUUGCCAA